AAUCAUCAACUUACAAGCCUUUGUGGACUGUAAGCUUGGACUUGGAGGCUUGCCGGCUCUUCUGUCAGCUCCUCUCAAAUGCAUUAGCUCGAUUCCUUGUGGAUCGGCUCUCGGUGUGAUAAUGUCUACGCCGUGACCGUGAAGCGUUUGGCGGGCUUCUAAUCGUCUCAUUAGGGACAAUCUAUUGAC
This 189-nucleotide unclassified non-coding RNA is filed under the name uncultured fungus. RNAcentral describes it as "sequence contains ITS2". Lineage: Eukaryota; Fungi. The record is from RNAcentral.